UACGUAGGGUGCGAGCGUUAAUCGGAAUUACUGGGCGUAAAGCGUGCGCAGGCGGCUUUGCAAGACAGAUGUGAAAUCCCCGGGCUCAACCUGGGAACUGCAUUUGUGACUGCAAGGCUAGAGUACGGCAGAGGGGGAUGGAAUUCCGCGUGUAGCAGUGAAAUGCGUAGAUAUGCGGAGGAACACCAAUGGCGAAGGCAAUCCCCUGGGCCUGUACUGACGCUCAUGCACGAAAGCGUCGGGAGCAAACAGG
RNAcentral lists this ribosomal RNA (253 nucleotides) under uncultured bacterium. RNAcentral's name for it is "partial 16S ribosomal RNA". It matches the Rfam family "Bacterial small subunit ribosomal RNA", at positions 524 to 776 of the family's 1533-position model. The record is from RNAcentral.